This is an RNA transcript of Mustela lutreola (European mink), 2594 nucleotides long. It is a transcript of the gene named fibroblast growth factor binding protein 3, with no coding region annotated. The transcript is spliced from 5 exons. Lineage: Eukaryota; Metazoa; Chordata; Mammalia; Carnivora; Mustelidae. The record is from RefSeq and is a predicted model, not a curated record.
GCCGGGGGCUGGCGGGGACCCGCGGCGGCGCAGCUCUCGGCCCAGCCGCGACCCGCCCGCCGCCCCACCCUCGGGGGGGCAGACAGCGAUACAGGGUGCUCGGCUCCGGGAUGGGAUGGGGGCGGCUAGCUUCCUGGAGCCCAGCUCCGGCCGCGGCCUAGGGGCGCCCGGUUACGCACACGCUCCGUCGUCGCGGGCUCCCGCAGGCCGGCUCCCACCCCCGAGCUUCUGCCCGGGACCCCGACCUGCAGCCGGUGCUCGGAUCCGGGACCCACGGCCGCCCCGCCCCCGAGGAGGCCCCCGUUCGCUCCUCGCCCAGCCCCGCAGUUUGUGAAGUUUCUUUUGACGUAUCUUCAAGUUCACCUGACUCAGUGUCAAGUCUGUUGAUGAGCCCAUCAAAGGAAAAAGCAACUAGGAUCUCUCAACAGCAGUAACUCCUAAAAGAUCCCCCACAGUCAACUCAGAGUCUGCAAGUUACCCACAGUCAACAGUCCAGAGGCAGAUGAUCCUGCUUUCGACAUAUCCUCAGGUCGUUAGGCUAACAAUAGUAGCCUAACACUUACACCAUGAUCUCUAUGUCGUUCACCUUACUUCAUCUCAUCAUCUAGGCAUUUUAUUACCUCGCAUCAUUACAAGAAGGGGAAAGGAGGAAAUAACCUACACAACUGCAAAGGAAGAGCAGCCUAGCACCUAUACUAAUCAUGUAUGUGUCCUUCAUGUAUGAGGAAACAAACACAAAUAAACAGACAUGUAAAGAAAAUCUAAUUAGAGAAUUUUAAAUGAGCACUAAUCAGCAAUCCUUGUUAUGUAUUAGUUACCCGUAGAGGUUUUUUUCUUUUAAAUACAAUGUCCUAGACUUCAAGCUGUAUUACAAUGCCAUAAUCAUCAGGACAAUAUAGUACUGGCAUAGAAACAGACACAGAGAUCAAUGAAACAGAACAGAGAACCCAAAAAUGGACUCUCAACUGUAUGGCCAACUAAUAUUCAACAAAGCAACAAAGAAUAUCCAAUGGAAAAAAGACAGUCUCUUCAACAAAUGGUGUUGGGAAAACUGGACAGCCACAUGCAGAAGAAUGAAACUGAACCAUUUCCUUACACCAUAAACAAAAACAGAGUCAAAAUGGAUGAAAGACCUCAGUAUGAGACAGGAAUCCAUCGAAAUCCCAGAGGAGAACACAGGCAGUAACCCUUGCAUCCUAAGCUGCAGCCAUUUCCUGCUAGACACAUCUCUAAAGGCAAAAGCAAAAAUGAACUACUCAGACUUCAUCAGGAUUAAAAGGUUCUAAACAGCAAAGUAAACAGUCAACGAAACAAAAGGCAACCUACGGAAUGGGAGAAGACAUUCACAAACAACAUAUCAGAUAAAGGGCUAAUAUCCAAGAUCUAUAAAGAACUCAUCACACUCAAAACCCAAAAAACCCACAAAAAAUACAGUCCAGAAAUGGGCAAAGACAUGAACAAUGAACAGACUUUUCUCCAGACAGUGGCCAUACAAAUGGCCAACAGACACAUGAAAAAAUGUUCCACAUCACUUGGCAUCAGGGAAAUACAAAAUCAAAGCCACAGUGAGAUACCACCUCAGACCAGUCGGAAUGGCUAAAAUUAACAAGUCAGGAAACAACAGAUGUUAGUGAGGAUGUGGAGAAAAGUACCCUCUUACACUAUUGGUGGGAAUGUAAAUUGAUGCAGCCACUCUGGAAAAAGGUAUGGAGAUUCCUCAAAAAGUUAAAAAUACAAUUACCCUACAGCAACUGUACUACUAGAUAUUUAUCCAAGGGACACAAACGUAAUUAUCUGAAGGGGCACAUGCACCCCAAGGUUUAUAGCAGCAACGUCAACAACAGCCAAAAUAUGGAAAGAGCCCAAGAAGAUAUGAAUAGACAUUUUUGCAAAGAAGACAUCCAAAUGGCCAACAGACACAUGAAAAAGUGCCCAACAUCAGGGAAAUACAAAUCAAAACCACAAUGAGAUACCACCUCACCCUGGCCAGAAUGGCUAAAAUUAAGAAGUCAGGAAACAACACAGGUUGGCAAGGAUGAAGAGAAAGGGGAACCCUCUUACACUGUUGGUGGGAAUGCAAGCUGGGGCAGCCGGUCUGGAAAACAGUAUGAAGGUUCCUCAAAAAGUUGAAAAUAGACCUACCCUACAACCCAGCAAUUGCACUAUACUAGGUUUUUACCCUAAAGCUACAAAUUCAGUGAUCCAAAGGGGCACCUGCACCCCAAUGUUUAUAGCAGCAGUGUCCACAACAGCCAAACUAUGGAAAGAGUCCAGAUGUCCAUCGACAGAUUAAGGAGUAAAGAAGAUGUGGUAUAUAUACAAUGCAAUAUUACUCAACCAUCAAAAAGAAUGAAAUCUUGGGGCUCCUGGGUGGCUCAGAGGGUUAAAGCCUCUGCCUUCGGCUCCGGUCAUGAUCCCAGGGUCCUGGGAUCGAGCCCCAUAUCGGGAAUCUCUGCUCAGUGGGGAGCCUGCUUCCUCCUCUCUCUCUCUCUGCCUUCCUCUCCGCCUACUUGUGAUCUCUCUCUCUCUCUCUGUCAAAUAAAUAAAUAAAAUCUUAAAAAAAAAAAAUCUUUAAAAAAAAAAAAAGAAUGAAA